Long non-coding RNA from Canis lupus familiaris (dog), 776 nucleotides. RefSeq lists it as uncharacterized. NCBI's taxonomy places the organism in Eukaryota, Metazoa, Chordata, Mammalia, Carnivora, Canidae. The transcript is spliced from 5 exons. The record is from RefSeq and is a predicted model, not a curated record.
GCAGGUGCCGGCGGGCCAGGCGGGCCAGGCGGGGAGCGCGCGUCCUGCCGCUGCAGGAGGGAGGCACACACGUCCAAUGGAGGUGAGGAGCUCCAAGCUGCAUGGCGCGCCCGCCCUGCCUCCUGCCACCCCGACUGCCCUAGUGAACGGGCCCCGGAGCCUGCAAAGACGGCCAGGAUUCUGCCAGAGAGCAGUGAUGUGAUGCGAAAUGAAGCUGAGAGGCAGGACACAGAUCUGUAACUACCACCUCCCUCAUCCCUCCAAUCUGACGGAGUUAAUGAAACAUCACCCAAGGCUGGACACUACAAUCAAGAUAAUGAACCUCUAAAAUCACCUCGGAAAGCUUCCUCCUGAAUCGUAAUCCCUCCCUCCUGCCAGCUGGUCCGCAUGGCUGCCAAUACUCGGGAUGGAGAGCAGACACAGAUCACUCACCAUUCAAUAAGGCAUACAGAAGAACAGGAUAAACAACAUGACUUACCACGGUGUCUCUGGGCUCUGGCCACUCAGAAAGGAAUUUUGUGCGUCCAGGAGAUCUGCCAGCGUGCGUGGCUGAAACCAAAGUACAGCAAAAGAAAGCAAUUGAUGAGCUAAAGAAAAAACCGGGGGUUCUCAGGAAGGAUACAGGAUUACUUGUUCUACCCUAUAGGUUCACGGCAUCUACAGGUUUUUUUCUCAUCUUGCUACCACCUCUGAGGGUCCCUUGCAGACCUGUCCCCAGGCCACAGGCAGCCUCAGCAGAAGGAGACUGCACGGGUCAAGAAAGGGAAGCUAUUCAC